This 73-nucleotide transfer RNA is filed under the name Ixodes scapularis (black-legged tick). It matches the Rfam family "tRNA". Rfam says of the family: Transfer RNA (tRNA) molecules are approximately 80 nucleotides in length. Lineage: Eukaryota; Metazoa; Arthropoda; Arachnida; Ixodida; Ixodidae. The record is from Rfam by way of RNAcentral.
UCCUGGCUAGUUCAGUUGGUAGAGCGCUCCACUGUAAAUGGAGAGGCCUAUGGUUCGAUACCAUGACCGGGCG